UUAAUUGAAACCAAAGAAGAGGUAAAUCACUGUUAAUGAUCUAACUGAAAAAUUUUUCCAAUUAAA
This 66-nucleotide transfer RNA is filed under the name Staphylinidae sp. BMNH 1274633. Its description in RNAcentral is "tRNA-Asn". Lineage: Eukaryota; Metazoa; Arthropoda; Insecta; Coleoptera; Staphylinidae. The record is from RNAcentral.